This 63-nucleotide transfer RNA is filed under the name Dorcus cervulus. RNAcentral describes it as "tRNA-Ile". The record is from RNAcentral. Lineage: Eukaryota; Metazoa; Arthropoda; Insecta; Coleoptera; Lucanidae.
AGUAAAGUGCCUGACUAAAGGAUUGUUUUGAUAGAACAAAUAAUGUACAAUAUACCUUUACUA